AUGGCCUUAUAUCUCCGACAACGGACAGUUUACUAGCCUUACCAGGUAUGACACGGCCUUAUAUCUCGGACAACGAACAGUUUACUAGCCUUACCAGGUAUGACACGGCCUAAUAUCUCGGACAAUAGACAGUUUACUAGCCUUACCAGUUAUGACGCGGCCUUAUAUCUCCGACAACGGACAGUUUACUAGCCUUACCAGGUAUGACACGGCCUUAUAUCUCGGACAACGGACAGUUUACUAGCCUUACCAGGUAUGACAUGGCCUUAUAUUUCGGACAACGGACAGUUUACUAGCCUUACCAGGUAUGACACGGCCUUAUAUCUCGGACAACGAACAGUUUACUAGCCUUACCAGGUAUGACACGGCCUAAUAUCUCGGACAAUAGACAGUUUACUAGCCUUACCAGGUAUGACACGGCCUAAUAUCUCGGACAAUAGACAGUUUACUAGCCUUACCAGGUAUGACACGGCCUUAUAUCUCCGACAACGAACAGUUUACUAGCCUUACCAGGUAUAACAUGGCCUUAUAUCUCGGACAACGAACAGUUUACUAGCCUUACCAGGUAUGACACGGCCUAAUAUCUCGGACAAUAGACAGUUUACUAGCCUUACCAGGUAUGACACGGCCUUAUAUCUCCGACAACGGACAGUUUACUAGCCUUACCAGGUAUGACAUGGCCUUAUAUCUCGGACAACAGACAGUUUACUAGCCUUACCAGGUAUGACACGGCCUUAUAUCUCGGACAACGGACAGUUUACUAGCCUUACCAGGUAUGACACGGCCUUAUAUCUCGGACAACGGACAGUUUACUAGCCUUACCGGGUAUGACAUGGUCUUAUAUCUCCCACAACGGACAGUUUACUAGCCUUACCAGUUAUGACAUGGCCUUAUAUCUCGGACAACAGACAGUUUACUAGCAUUACCAGGUAUGACACGGCCUUAUAUCUCGGACAACGAACAGUUUACUAGCCUUACCAGGUAUGACACGGCCUUAUAUCUCCGACAAUAGAUAGUUUACUAGCCUUACCAGGUAUGACAUGGCCUUAUAUCUCCGACAACGGACAGUUUACUAGCCUUACCAGGUAUGACACGGCCUUAUAUCUCCGACAACGGACAGUUUACUAGCCUUACCAGGUAUGACACGGCCUUAUAUCUCCGACAACGGACAGUUUACUAGCCUUACCAGGUAUGACAUGGCCUUAUAUCUCGGACAACAGACAGUUUACUAGCCUUACCAGGUAUGACACGGCCUUAUAUCUCCGACAACGGACAGUUUACUAGCCUUACCAGGUAUGACACGGCCUUAUAUCUCCGACAACGGACAGUUUACUAGCCUUACCAGGUAUGGCACGGCCUUAUAUCUCCGACAACGGACAGGUAAAUAGCCUUAUCCUGUAUGACAUGGCCUUAUAUCUCCGACAACGGACAGUUUACUAGCCUUACCAGGUAUGACACGGCCUGAUAUCUCCGACAACGGACAGUUUACUAGCCUUAC
This is a long non-coding RNA of Pecten maximus, 1498 nucleotides long. RefSeq lists it as uncharacterized. The transcript has 3 exons. NCBI's taxonomy places the organism in Eukaryota, Metazoa, Mollusca, Bivalvia, Pectinida, Pectinidae. The record is from RefSeq and is a predicted model, not a curated record.